AGGCGUGCGAUACAGGGUGACAGCCCCGUACACAAAAAUGCACAUACUGUGAGCUCGAUGAGUAGGGCGGGACACGUGGUAUCCUGUCUGAAUAUGGGGGGACCAUCCUCCAAGGCUAAAUACUCCUGACUGACCGAUAGUGAACCAGUACCGUGAGGGAAAGGCGAAAAGAACCCCGGCGAGGGGAGUGAAAAAGAACCUGAAACCGUGUACGUACAAGCAGUGGGAGCACGCUUAGGCGUGUGACUGCGUACCUUUUGUAUAAUGGGUCAGCGACUUAUAUUCUGUAGCAAGGUUAACCGAAUAGGGGAGCCGAAGGGAAACCGAGUCUUAACUGGGCGUUAAGUUGCAGGGUAUAGACCCGAAACCCGGUGAUCUAGCCAUGGGCAGGUUGAAGGUUGGGUAACACUAACUGGAGGACCGAACCGACUAAUGUUGAAAAAUUAGCGGAUGACUUGUGGCUGGGGGUGAAAGGCCAAUCAAACCGGGAGAUAGCUGGUUCUCCCCGAAAGCUAUUUAGGUAGCGCCUCGUGAAUUCAUCUCCGGGGGUAGAGCACUGUUUCGGCAAGGGGGUCAUCCCGACUUACCAACCCGAUGCAAACUGCGAAUACCGGAGAAUGUUAUCACGGGAGACACACGGCGGGUGCUAACGUCCGUCGUGAAGAGGGAAACAACCCAGACCGCCAGCUAAGGUCCCAAAGUCAUGGUUAAGUGGGAAACGAUGUGGGAAGGCCCAGACAGCCAGGAUGUUGGCUUAGAAGCAGCCAUCAUUUAAAGAAAGCGUAAUAGCUCACUGGUCGAGUCGGCCUGCGCGGAAGAUGUAACGGGGCUAAACCAUGCACCGAAGCUGCGGCAGCGACGCUUAUGCGUUGUUGGGUAGGGGAGCGUUCUGUAAGCCUGUGAAGGUGUACUGUGAGGUAUGCUGGAGG
This 929-nucleotide ribosomal RNA is filed under the name Escherichia coli. Its description in RNAcentral is "partial 23S ribosomal RNA". It matches the Rfam family "Bacterial large subunit ribosomal RNA", at positions 348 to 1279 of the family's 2925-position model. RNAcentral also lists the same sequence under 1 other name. Lineage: Bacteria; Pseudomonadati; Pseudomonadota; Gammaproteobacteria; Enterobacterales; Enterobacteriaceae. The record is from RNAcentral.